AUGAUGGUCGAGGACAAGCAAGAGAGGAAUAGCUGCAGAAGGGCGUCCUACCAAAAUAUGCCGGUCGAGGAGAAGCAAGAGACAAAUGCCCGCCGAAGAGCACGUGUGCAAAACAUACCACCCAAGGAGAAACAGAAGAUGCUAACUCAACGCAACGCAAUACUCGCGGCUAGGCGCAACAUCCCUUGCGCUGAAUCCAUCGCAAUGCCGCGCCCAGAUGCAGCUACCUUAGCUACGCCCAACCUGAUGUCGACCACUCAUGCCAGAGACCCCGCCGCUUCAACUCCUUCCCCCCAGUUAGCGAGUAAGGCUGGUUACAGCUUCGAAUCAGACGGUAAUCCUCCCAUCUUUACUCUACUUGUUAUGUCCAUGUGCGUUGGACCAGUAUUUACCAGCUCCUCAACCAUGCAGGCGAGUACCUUAGUCGUACCCUGGACAAUAAUGAGGCUCCCGGCGAACUCAUAA
This 465-nucleotide ribosomal RNA is filed under the name Triticum aestivum (bread wheat). RNAcentral describes it as "partial small subunit ribosomal RNA". The record is from RNAcentral. Lineage: Eukaryota; Viridiplantae; Streptophyta; Magnoliopsida; Poales; Poaceae.